Molecule: ribosomal RNA, 588 nt
Filed under: Triticum aestivum (bread wheat)
Lineage: Eukaryota; Viridiplantae; Streptophyta; Magnoliopsida; Poales; Poaceae
Description: partial small subunit ribosomal RNA
Source: RNAcentral
AUGGACUGCCUCAUCAACACGCCCGAGGACAUGCGGAUCCUGCAGCUGCGUGGCAUCCUUGUCAACCAGAUCAACGGCGAGCAGGAUGCCAGCCGCUUCUUCAGCAGGAUCUGCGCGCGCUACGCUGUGGGCUACUGGCCGGACAACAACUACCUGAAAGAUGUCACGGACAAGGUGAAUAAUUACAGGGGCUCCAGGUUGCACAAGUGGCGCGCCGCGCUUGUGCGCAGCUACUUCAGCAACCCCUGGGUGGCCAUGUCGGUGCUGGCUGCCGUGCUCUUGCUAGGCAUGACCAUCCUGCAGACCACCUUCACAGUCUAUCCCUACUUCAGCGGUUCAGCCCUCCAAAGUAAGAACCUGAAGCAAGAAGCAGCUACUUCCACUAUGUCCAUGGGGUCGGGACAACUGCUUGUACUUUCAUUCCAUCAACAACAUCCAACAGGGCACGGCCGAAUUUCGUUUCUUGUCACUGUAAUUAUAUGUGCAUGUACCAGACAAGGCUGUCCAGUUAUGUGCUCGUCCGCUGGCUGCGUCUAUGUGUAUGAGUAUGAUAGUGUAAAAAAUAAAAAAUUUGAGGGUUGUGUAUGA